GAAGCAAAGCCGCGAGGUAGAGCAAAUCUCAAAAAAACAAUCUCAGUUCAGACUGCAGGCUGCAACUCGCCUGCACGAAGUCGGAAUUGCUAGUAAUCGUAGGUCAGCAUACUACGGUGAAUACGUUCCCGGGCCUUGUACACACCGCCCGUCAAACCAUGAGAGUUGGCAACACCCGAAGUCGGUAGUCUAACCGCAAGGAGGACGCCGCCGAAGGUGGGGUUGAUGAUUAGGGUUAAGUCGUAACAAGGUAUC
RNAcentral lists this ribosomal RNA (255 nucleotides) under uncultured bacterium. RNAcentral describes it as "partial 16S ribosomal RNA". It matches the Rfam family "Bacterial small subunit ribosomal RNA", at positions 1246 to 1500 of the family's 1533-position model. The record is from RNAcentral.